RNAcentral lists this small nucleolar RNA (102 nucleotides) under Otolemur garnettii (small-eared galago). RNAcentral's name for it is "Small nucleolar RNA SNORA33 (ENSOGAG00000022420.1)". Lineage: Eukaryota; Metazoa; Chordata; Mammalia; Primates; Galagidae. The record is from RNAcentral.
UUGCUAAAAAAAUAAAAAAAGAAGAAGUUGGCAAUUGGAAAGCCACGUUAUUAGCCUUAAGGACACUGAAGUCUUUCAAGUUUCCUGGAAAUGGCUAUAAAG